CGUAGGCGGUCUCUUAAGUCAGAUGUGAAAGCCCGAGGCUUAACCUCGGAAGUGCAUUUGAAACUAAGGGACUUGAGUAUGGGAGAGGGAAGUGGAAUUCCUGGUGUAGCGGUGAAAUGCGUAGAUAUCAGGAGGAACACCGGUGGCGAAGGCGACUUCCUGGACCAAUACUGACGCUGAGGCGCGAAGGCGUGGGUAGCAAACA
This 205-nucleotide ribosomal RNA is filed under the name uncultured bacterium. Its description in RNAcentral is "partial 16S ribosomal RNA". It matches the Rfam family "Bacterial small subunit ribosomal RNA", at positions 570 to 774 of the family's 1533-position model. The record is from RNAcentral.